CGGGGAGGACGGGGGCGGGCCGCGUGGCGCGAGGCCGCCGGAGGGAGCCCAAGAACGCCUCUCCCUCGGAAAUACAAUCUCUCGGGGGUGGAGGCAACAAAGAAAAAUAACAACUGGAUCACAGCAGAAUGAGGUCCAGUCAGUCCUCACUCUGGAGAACGGAGCAAACCCAUGAAAAGCGGAGCUUAAAAGAUUUCAUACUGUGAAACUGUGGACGUUGAAACCAGGUGAUUUGAAACCACGAAGACAUUUCUGGAAUAAAUGAUAGCCAACUAAUCUGUUCCACCGCGAUUUAAGACUCUCCUACACACUACAGAAAUCACCAACACUGAUACACAUUGUAUAUGAAAGCUCUUGAAAGUAGGUCAAGACAAAAAAAAGACAGCAAUAAGGACUUCAUUAAAAAUCACAACGGAGGUAAAAUUGCUAAAACAAAACAAUAAGGUUAUCUAGAGUUAUAAGUUUAACAGCAUUUUUUCCUGGCGCUGUAAAUAGAGAUGGUCUUCUGAACCAUAUUUUAUUUACAACCUGAAAAGAAUGGAUACUUGGCACUUGAACAGAAUAGAAGUAGAACAAAAGUUCAAGUGCUUAAGCGUAAAGUUCAGACUAAAAUAUUUUGUAGUAGUCUAAAGUUAGACAAAAGGCAUAUCUUCCUUACAACUGGUCUACAGAAAGUCAGGAACAAUGGUAGUGAUGAGGUAUCUAUAGAGAUUUCUAGUAUUAGCAGAAAACAUUCUAGACAGUAUGUUGUCCAGAAUGAAUGUUUUGUAAUGCAUCAGUGAUGGCAAUGUUUAACUGCCAUUGUAUGAGUGGGCACAACAUGAACCCUUUAUGAAAACAAUUAUCAGCUAAAUAAUGAUACAGCAUGUGUGUGCUGAUAUUACCUAUUAACAACACAGGUUCUUCAAAUAUUUACGAAGAGAAGAGUCUGUGGAGUACACUCAAAGACUAAGGAACAAAGAUACAAAAGUGUCACUGAGAGCUAAAAACCAACAAUUAAGGUAGCUAAUGGAUAUUAGUAUUUGUAGCUCAUGUUCCCAAGUGAGGUAUUUUAGGUAUCUAAACCAGAUUUCUCCAAUGUAUGUUAUCAUCAGAUGCCAGUGAAAA
Molecule: non-coding RNA, 1107 nt
Organism: Odocoileus virginianus texanus
Lineage: Eukaryota; Metazoa; Chordata; Mammalia; Artiodactyla; Cervidae
Source: RefSeq, a predicted model, not a curated record